RNAcentral lists this ribosomal RNA (365 nucleotides) under uncultured bacterium. RNAcentral's name for it is "bacterial SSU rRNA". It matches the Rfam family "Bacterial small subunit ribosomal RNA", at positions 527 to 896 of the family's 1533-position model. The record is from RNAcentral.
GGAGGAUCCAAGCGUUAUCCGGAAUCAUUGGGUUUAAAGGGUCCGUAGGCGGUCUUAUAAGUCAGUGGUGAAAUCUCCCCGCUCAACGGGGAAACUGCCAUUGAUACUGUAGGACUUGAAUUAUUAGGAAGUAACUAGAAUAUGUAGUGUAGCGGUGAAAUGCUUAGAGAUUACAUGGAAUACCAAUUGCGAAGGCAGGUUACUACUAAUUGAUUGACGCUGAUGGACGAAAGCGUGGGUAGCGAACAGGAUUAGAUACCCUGGUAGUUCACGCCGUAAACGAUGGAUACUAGCUGUUGGGGGCAACUUCAGUGGCUAAGCGAAAGUGAUAAGUAUCCCACCUGGGGAGUACGUUCGCAAGAAUG